Molecule: ribosomal RNA, 506 nt
Filed under: uncultured bacterium
Lineage: Bacteria
Description: partial 16S ribosomal RNA
Rfam family: Bacterial small subunit ribosomal RNA
Source: RNAcentral
AGUGAACGCUGGCGGUAGGCCUAACACAUGCAAGUCGAACGGCAGCACAGGAGAGCUUGCUCUCUGGGUGGCGAGUGGCGGACGGGUGAGGAAUACAUCGGAAUCUACUCUGUCGUGGGGGAUAACGUAGGGAAACUUACGCUAAUACCGCUUACGACCUACGGGUGAAAGCAGGGGACCUUCGGGCCUUGCGCGAUUGAAUGAGCCGAUGUCGGCUUAGCUAGUUGGCGGGGUAAAGGCCCACCAAGGCGACGAUCCGUAGCUGGUCUGAGAGGAGGAUCAUCCACACUGGACCGGAGACACGGUCCAGACUCCUACGAGAGGCAGCAGUGGGGAAUAUUGGACAAUGGGCGCAAGCUUGAUCCAGCCAUACCGCGUGGGUGAAGAGGGCCUUCGGGUUGUAAAGCCCUUUUGUUGGGAAAGAAAUCCAGCUGGCUAAUACCCGGUUGGGAUGACGGUACCCAAAGAAUAAGCACCGGCUAACUUCGUGCCAGCAGCCGCCGUAA